ACGCUAUGAGUCUCGCAUUGUAGACCUCGCAUGAGAUUCAUGAAACUGCGACACAUUCGUUAAAAAGAUGAACUAAAGAUAUCACCGGUGACAAUAAUAUUAUGUAUAUAUAUAUUCUCACGUAUAUAUAGUAUUUUUACAUUUUUUACUGAAUCAACGUGAAUCAUGGAUCGUAACUCGUAAAUACCACGCAGUUAUUCGAUACUUGUGUCAUACUAUGUUCAUAUAGCCUUACAUACGUAUGAUUGAUACAUUAAUAGGACAAUCCUGAUAACGGUUCUGUGAAAGAAAACUUCAUUAUAUUUUCUUGUAUAUAUAUUUUUUUUUACUUGAACAACGCGAAGAUCAUCGAGGCCGUGAUGAUUUCAAAAUUUACUGCAUUAUUGUGAGAAGAAAACUUUGUAUAUACUUUGCAAAAAGAUGAGUUGGCUACGUAAUAGUACACUGCGAACGAGCUUCAGCAAGCCACGAUCCAGAAACUCUCCGCCGAAGGAUGCCGAUCCGUCCGCAUGUUAUGACAGCUUCUGCAAACAUUGGCAACAGACUUAUGAAAUUAUUCUGCAUUCUUUACCUCUUAAAGGGGUACCUAGUCAAGAUGAUGUGCUUGGAGUUGUUAAUCACAUUGACCAAAUGGUGACACUAUUGAUGCUGGAACUGCGGGAUUCGAAUUUACAUAAUCAGUAUCAACAGGGCAACACUGCAACGCAUUCUCCAUGCUUAGAAUAUUUAUUAAGUGAAAAUUUACUUGUUAAACUGUAUGAUUGGAGUAUACAUACAGGAAGAUUUAAUAAUGCUGUAAGAUUGGAACAAAUAAAGCUUUAUGAAUUGCUCAUUUCACAUAGCAAUACCCUUCUCGCACAUGAACCAGUUACUAGACCGCUCUUACGUUUAUUAGAAGAAUGCGCAAAUGAUAUUAUGCCAUUAGAAGUAGAAAAAAAAUUAGUAGUAUUAUUGAAUCAGCUGUGUGUCGUUUUAAUGCAAAAUAUGGCUUUACUUGAUUUGUUUUUUCAACCUAAUGCAAUUGGAAAGAACAAAUUUAUUAUAUUUAACUUAUUAAUACCUCAUAUUCAUCGAGAGGGUGGUGUUGGUCAACAAGCACGUGAUGCUAUGUUAUUAUGCAUGUCGCUCUCAAAAAAAAACGAUGAAGUUGGAUUAUACAUCGCUGAUCAUUCCAAUAUAUGUCCUGUACUAGCUACAGGAUUGAGUGGGCUUUAUUCUUUACUUCCAAGAAAACUUGACAUUGAGACAGAUGAUUGGUAUCAAUUGACACCAGAUGAUGUGAAUGACUUACCUGCACUUAUGCAGCUCAUGAAUUCUUUAGAAUUUUGCAACGCAGUUGCGCAAGUGGCGCAUCCAAUGGUACAGAAACAGUUGCUUGAAUUUUUAUACCAAGGUUUUUUAGUUCCCGUCAUGGGUCCGGCAUUAUUACAGGAUUCUCUUGGCUUGACUCUAGAACAGCUAGAUGUACAACAAUAUUGGACGACUGUGGAAGAAUUAGUUGCAGCGACAGCUUAUUUUGAUUUAUUUCUUCGAUCUGUGACCGAUCCUGGCUUGUUACGGUCGCUUAUUAGAUUUCUAUUAGAAGAUAAUUAUGAUGAUUGUAGAAUAUUGGAUAGUUUAAUACAAAGAAUUUCUUCUCGAUCGAGGUUAUGCAUAGUCACUCUGGCAUUGUUUGAAACUCUGGUUAAUUUAAACUGCGAAGAUAUCAUGUUAGAACUAUGUUUGAGUGCAUUAAGUCCAUGUUCGCAUAUAAUGCUUUCUCAACGUAGCCGACUGAGAGAUAUAGAUCCUUUUGGACGUGCGGCGGAAAAAUUUUUAUCUCUAACUCCAUAUUGCUGUUCUACUAUGUUUACAUCAUUGGAUUCUCAAACAAAUUCUUUACCUAGCACUACAUCAUGUACAUAUGACAAAUAUGGAUAUAUCGCGACCGAUUCAAUGAAAUCAUUACCAGCAUCAAUCAAUUAUGGUACGAAAUUAUCAGACAGCUUAUAUGGAAAUUAUCACGCAUAUCUCUGUGAUGCCAGACAAAAAAUAAAAACUUGCCGUAUUGCGUGUUCCAAUUGGUCUUGUCGGUACGAUGGUGAUUUAUCAGAAAAUAGUAAUACCAGCAGCGUAACUACAUUGAUAAAUGAAAAAAUUACAUCUGAUCAAUUGCAGAAGAAAACAGAAGAAUCUAAAACAUCAUCGCUGGAAAAAACAAUUAAGAAUGCAACAAUUAAAAGUUUGUGCGAAAAUAACGAGAGUGGGCUAAUAGAUAAUGUACUAUAUAAUUUUCAGUGUCUAUUAGAAAACAAAGAUAUAAACAGCAAUGAACAUAAUAUUAAAAAUGAAUUGACUAUGGAUGUUGUAUUAUCUCUUGACGAACAGACACAAUUGGAUGCUGAUAUUGCAGAAUUAUUAAAUGAAGAUAUAGGAAUGACAAAUUAUACGGAAGAAACUUAUUUAGAUAAAAAGGAAUCUGAUAGCUGUAUAGAUGAUUCAGCUACAACCAUGAAUUCGCUCAUGUCGCUAGGAGAGAGUAGCGGUUAUGAAAGCUUUGCAUUUAAAGGAUCGCCGGAGUCAACACCGGACAAUGAGACAAACGAAAAUCAUAUGAAUGAACACGAAGAAAUGCAUAUCAUAAUUAAGAAGGAGAUUAAUGAUAUUACUGGACAUAAUAUUAUAAAAUCGAAUUCUUUGACAACUGAAAAUACGUCAUUGAGUAAAUCUAGUACUUCGUAUCGACAAGAUAUAUUUAAUGGACAGCCAAACGUCGGCAUAUUUUUAGACGUAGUUUUACGAAAGCUUGAAUGUAUGACUAGCAAUAAUUUGUAUGUCAAUUUACAUCUGACAGGUCUUAUUAGUAGACUGGCGAUAUAUCCGCAACCUUUAUUGCAAUCCUUUCUGCUGAAUCAUUCUCUUGUGUUUCAACCUAGCAUCAGAUCUUUGUUUCAGGUGCUUGCAUCAUUAAAGCACAAAAUAGAUCAAUUUCUCUCAAAACACAACAACGUAGAUUUAUUGGUUGAACAAGCAAGAUUAUUUCUGAUUAGUCGAGAGGACAAGAUAGUAAAUGCGAGAAAAAAUGUAUUAGAAGCUGCUGCUCAAUCCUUAUCUGUUAAAAAGCAUUCUCUGACUGGUGAAUCAUUCUCAAGAGUUUUAUUUACAGGAGAACCGAAAAGAAGAAGCUUAACAUUAUCAUUUACACAAAUGUUCAAACGAUCAAGUAAUAGCUUAGGUAUAAGCAGCUUAACAAAUUCUAUCAGUCAGCCGUCCAGUAUGUCGGAAGAUCAGUUACAAAUGGUUGGCUCUGGAUAUAGAUAUGUGAAAACUUCAUGGGAAUCGCCAAAUGAAGUGAGUCCAGUGCAAAAUAUUGUUCUAUGUGCUGUUAUAUUAGAUGAAUGGCUUAAAGAGCUUGCAGCAAUAACUCAGGAACAUGCAAUUAUGUCUCUUACAGAUGAUAUUGGAUUUAAAGCUUAACAUUUGACAUUGACCUUGACGUUGACUUUUUCCGUCGCUCGAUUAGUAACAAAAAGUUACGAAGAAAUAAACAUAUUGGAAAAAAUCAAAAUUAAUAUGUUAUAGAAAAAUUUCACAAUUUAUUCAUCAGUUAAUACAGGAUUAGCUAACGAAUACAGAGAAAAUGUUACUUUGAAAAAUUGUGAUAUUUGCUUAUUAAAAUUGUACUGUUUUUUGAAUAAAAAUUCGGCCAAAUAAUAAUAAGAGAACGCAUAUAGUGCGCUCUUGUGAUAUGUCAAAAUGAAGUAAAGCAGCACGCAUAAUCUUUCAAUAUUCUGUAAAACGAAUUUGUUAAAGAUUUUGUCUCAUUUUUUAUUUCCUCUUGAUUAAACAUAGUAAUUUUAAUGCGUGCAAUAUUGAUGCAACCGAAUACAUUGUUUGAUUGGCAUAUAAAAAGUGGUGAUCACAAAUUUUAAUUUUAAAUCAAAUAGAUUUGGGAUAGGUUAUAUUUUCCGGAAAUGGAAUCCCCCGUGGGGGGGCGGAAUCCAUUACAUCCAUGGAUCCACGCACUUUCCCAUCCAUACAAUAAUUGUGGAUCUCACUUCAAAUUUCGAAGUAUGCAUAGACACAGUGGAUUCAGUCCUCCCUAUGAAAGACUCCACUUCCAGAAUAACUUAACCCAAACCUAUUUCUGAUUUAAAACUAAGAUUUGUAACCACUUAUAUACCGUUCAAACAAAUGUAAGCAUCCAAUAUUGCAUACAUAAAAUUAUUAUGUUUAAUCAAGAAUAUAUAAAAAAUGGAACUAAAGCGAUGGAAAAGCUCAAUGAUCUUGAUCUGCUUAGAGAUUAAGGUCAAUGUUAAGAUCAACCAGAAGUCAUUUAGAGCUGUGUAAAGUGAAACUUUUCGAAAUAGCGCACUGUACGGAAUUUCGGCACGCUAUAACAAGAUUACUACCAAAUUCCCUCAAAUUCAGAGCCAUAUGAAACUUGCACGAAUAAGCCUGUUCAAAUAUACCAUCGGGAGAGGACGUUGGGACAUUGCGCUCACAAAUAUAUAUUGCUAUGCGAUUGGAUCGUUACUCUCACUUACACUACUCGGGAGCAGUCUAUCAUGUACGGAAGAGAUGUUGUGCGCCAAUUCGAGAUUUCAUUGUAUAUUUAUAACUUAUGAAUAUUUAAAGAAAAUUGAAAACUAAAACAAAAUAUUUAGCACAACACAAAACAUUUCUACAAUUCUUCUAUUUUAUAGAUACUUAUAUAGGAUUUCUCCAAAUUAUCAGACUUUCUCUUAAUGGCAGAUUUCUUACGGCCAUUGCACGUUAAAAAAUUUUAGUCAUUGUAAGGCCGUAAGAAAAUUGACCAAUCACAAUCAAACAUUCUAAUACAUAAUAAAAAUGUUUGAACUGUGAUUGAUUGAUUUAUUUACGGCUUUACGAUUACGACUAAAAUUUUGUAACGUGCAAUGGCCUUUAGAACAGUUCAAGACGAAAAUCUUAAUACAAAAAUAUUGAGACUAUAAUAUUUUUAAACGGGAAGCGAUUAUAUUUUACGAAUGAGAGGGGUGAGAUUUCGCGCGCUCAGGCACAGUUCCAAAUUUUUACUUGAAUCAUUUUUGAGAUGCCUUUAGUUGUCGCAUCCAUUCGUAAAAAGAAUAUACUAAAACCUGUAUCAGACUACGCAUUGAAGGUUGAGAUUGAAGAUUGAAGAUUGAAAUUUAACCAAUCACUUCAAAGAAAUUUUAGUUUCUUUUGUUGUGAUUAGUCAAAUUCCAAGCUUCAAUUUUCAAUGUGUAGUCUGAUACGGGCAUAAUGCAAUGCGUAGAGAAGCAUCCAUUCGUAAAAAGAAUAUAUCAAUGCAAUGCGUAAGGAAGCAGGAAAACAUAAUGACAAUGUUAUUAAAUUUAUACGAUAAUCAUAAAAAAGGCGCCCUAUUUAUAAAGCACUUUUGUCACUUGUUAUUUCACCUGAGUACGCGUAAUUCUAGUUGUUUCAUUUGUAAAAUAUAAUCGCUUUCCGUUUAAAAACCAUUAUAGUUUCGAGAUUUUUGUAUUAAAAUGGAUUUUUAUUUUGAAAUGUUUUAAGAAAUCUGCCAUAAAGAGAAAGUCCAGUUUUAAAACGCUCUGUAUAUAAAAACUAAAAAAAAAAUGCGUUAAUAUAAUAUUGUUGUUCAGAUUUACUUAUUAUUGUUUAGGAUAGUUAUCAACUUGUUAAAAUAAAAAUCUUUUAAAUUUUA
Cataglyphis hispanica is the source of this 5668-nucleotide RNA transcript. It is a transcript of the gene named FHIP family protein GK23746-like, with no coding region annotated. The transcript has 14 exons. Lineage: Eukaryota; Metazoa; Arthropoda; Insecta; Hymenoptera; Formicidae. The record is from RefSeq and is a predicted model, not a curated record.